CCUACAGGUGGCUGCAGUGGGGGAUAUUGCACAAUGGGGGGAACCCUGAUGCAGCGACGCCGCGUGGGUGAAGGAGUGCUUCGGCAUGUAAAGCCCUAUCGGCAGGGAAGAAGCAAGACGGUACCUGACUAAGAAGCCCCGGCUAACUACGUGCCAGCAGCCGCGGUAAUACGUAGGGGGCGAGCGUUAUCCGGAUUCACUGGGUGAAAAGGGAGCGUAGACGGCCAAGCAAGCCAGGGGUGAAAGCCCGGGCCCAACCCCGGGACUGCCCUUGGAACUGCAUGGCUGGAGUGCGGGAGGGGCAGGCGGAAUUCCUGGUGUAGCGGUGAAAUGCGUAGAUAUCAGGAGGAACACCGGCGGCGAAGGCGGCCUGCUGGACCGCGACUGACGUUGAGGCUCGAAAGCGUGGGGAGCGAACAGGAUUAGAUACCCGAGUAGUC
This 440-nucleotide ribosomal RNA is filed under the name uncultured bacterium. RNAcentral's name for it is "partial 16S ribosomal RNA". It matches the Rfam family "Bacterial small subunit ribosomal RNA", at positions 338 to 795 of the family's 1533-position model. The record is from RNAcentral.